AAGAACGUGAAAACGUGAGCAACACAGCCAACAGGGCACACUCGUCUUUGAAACAAAAGCGGUCCAGGGAGUUCCCGCCCAGUGUCCACCCAACCAGAAUCCCGCUGAGGCAUCGAUGGCCUCGCAGACCCCCUCCCACAGAUUCCGGUGUGUGGCGUGAGCACGUGCAGUAGACCCUGGGCUGCGAGAGACUUGUUCCGUGAACACUCACACGUGUUGACUUGAUGAACAGCCAUGUCUUGUGAUAGGAGGCCGUCUUCAGAUAGAGACCCUGUCCUCUGCUGCCUUAUUGCCGGUUACAUCACAUGCAGUGUGUGACCAGAGUUUAUUAACGCUGGGCUGUAGUCAACGUCCGCUCGAGCAUACACAGCGGCCCCCCUGCAGAAGAAGGUUCCAUCGAGCCAACAGAGAACAUUGAUUCCAUUAGUGAUAGUGAAAGUCUUCCUACACGGUGUCCCUCCUCUCUGGUC
Molecule: long non-coding RNA, 470 nt
Organism: Hyaena hyaena (striped hyena)
Lineage: Eukaryota; Metazoa; Chordata; Mammalia; Carnivora; Hyaenidae
Exons: 3
Source: RefSeq, a predicted model, not a curated record